UACGUAGGGGGCAAGCGUUGUCCGGAAUUACUGGGCGUAAAGAGCGCGUAGGCGGUCCGAUAAGUCGGCUGUGAAAGUCAGGGGCUCAACCCUUGAAAGCCGGCCGAUACUGUCGGACUAGAGUCCGGAAGAGGCAAGUGGAAUUCCCGGUGUAGCGGUGAAAUGCGCAGAUAUCGGGAGGAACACCAAUGGCGAAGGCAGCUUGCUGGGACGGUACUGACGCUGAGGCGCGAAAGCUAGGGGAGCAAACGGG
This 253-nucleotide ribosomal RNA is filed under the name uncultured bacterium. Its description in RNAcentral is "partial 16S ribosomal RNA". It matches the Rfam family "Bacterial small subunit ribosomal RNA", at positions 524 to 776 of the family's 1533-position model. The record is from RNAcentral.